GACGAACGUUGGCGGCGUGCUUAAUACAUGCAAGUCAACUGAAGCAGUGGUAGCAAUAUCGCUGUGGAGGUGGCGCACGGGUGAGUAACACGUAGGUAAUCUGCCUUCAGGUCUGGCAUAACUCCGGGAAACCGGGGCUAAUAGCAGAUGAUGCAGCGGCUCGACAUCGAGACAGUUGUUAAAGCUAUGGCGCCUGAAGAUGAGCCUGCGUCUGAUUAGCUAGUUGGCGGGGUAACGGCCCACCAAGGCAACGAUCAGUAGCUGGUCUGAGAGGACGAUCAGCCACACUGGAACUGAGACACGGUCCAGACUCCUACGGGAGGCAGCAGUAAGGAAUAUUGCUCAAUGGGAGAAAUCCUGAAGCAGCAACGCCGCGUGAGGGACGAAGGGCUUUUGCUUGUAAACCUCUGUAGUGAGAGAAAAAAAUCCCAAUCUUUGGGACAUGAUGGUAUCUCAAAAGUAAGCCCCGGCUAACUACGU
Molecule: ribosomal RNA, 480 nt
Filed under: uncultured bacterium
Lineage: Bacteria
Description: partial 16S ribosomal RNA
Rfam family: Bacterial small subunit ribosomal RNA
Source: RNAcentral